This 492-nucleotide ribosomal RNA is filed under the name uncultured bacterium. RNAcentral's name for it is "partial 16S ribosomal RNA". It matches the Rfam family "Bacterial small subunit ribosomal RNA", at positions 30 to 507 of the family's 1533-position model. The record is from RNAcentral.
AUUGAACGCUGGCGGUAGGCCUAACACAUGCAAGUCGAACGGCAGCACAGUAAUAGCUUGCUCUUACGGGUGGCGAGUGGCGGACGGGUGAGGAAUACAUCGGAAUCUGCUUUUUCUUGGGGGAUAACGUAGGGAAACUUACGCUAAUACCGCAUACGACCUACGGGUGAAAGCAUGGGAUCUUCGGACCUUGCGCGAUUGAAUGAGCCGAUGUCUGAUUAGCUAGUUGGCGGGGUAAAGGCCCACCAAGGCGACGAUCCGUAGCUGGGCUGAGAGGUAGAUCAGCCCAGCUGGAACUGAGCAACGGUCCCGACUCCUACGGGAGGCCGCAGUGGGGAAUAUUGGACAAUGGGGGGAAGCCUGAUCCAGCCAUACCGGGUGGGUGAAGAAGGCCUUCGGGUUGUAAAGCCCUUUUGUUGGGAAAGAAAAGCAGCAGGUUAAUACCCCGCUGUUCUGACGGUAACCAACGAAUAAGCACCGGCUAACUUCGUG